Long non-coding RNA from Erpetoichthys calabaricus (reedfish), 812 nucleotides. RefSeq lists it as uncharacterized. The transcript has 3 exons. NCBI's taxonomy places the organism in Eukaryota, Metazoa, Chordata, Cladistia, Polypteriformes, Polypteridae. The record is from RefSeq and is a predicted model, not a curated record.
GUUAAGAAACCAUGUAAUUCGUUGAGACUAAUGCAAAGGCCCUGGACUGAUUGUGUUUUAUGAUGUUCUUGGGUUGAUCGUGUCCAAAGGAUGUGACUAAUUUACCAUUAAAUCCGCAGUAUAUUGUCUACACGUCUUGAAUUGGUAAAUCCUUUCUGUGUCUUCUUUCGGCUGCUCCCGUUAGUGGUUGCCACAGCAGAUCAUCUUUUUCCUUCUCUUCCUGUCCUCGUCAUCUUUCUCUGUCACUCCCAUCAAUACAAUACAGUUUAUUUUUGUAUAGCCCAAAAUCACACAAGAAGUGCAGCAAUGGGCUUUAACAGGCCCUGCCUCUUGACAGCCCCCCAGCCUUGACUGUCUAAGAAGACAAGGAAAAACUCCCAGAAAAAAAUGGAAGAAACCUUGGGACAGGCAGUUCAAAGAGAGACCCCUUUCAAGAGUCCUGGAGACCUCAUCCAUCAAGCUGCCUCCUCCUAUUGGCCAUUCCACAGCUGAGACAGUGCUGGGCCCGCCAAUCCGAUGAAAGGACCCCUCUAAGCCACGAUUCCUGCGAUCCUCCAUCAGGGAUGACUUUACCUUAGGCAGGCAAAACAACUUGACAGGUGGGCCGAGUACCGAGAAGAGAAACAGAAUAGGUGAAGACUGGAAGAUUGACGACCUUAACACCAGUGACGCCACUUCCGGUGUCUGCCUGCCUGGUCCCGCCCCCUUUCUACCAGGAAUCCUUUAUUCCGGAAGUUCCGCCAUCUUGCAUCAAUCUGUUUGAAGACUCACGGCGACAUUACAUCUAUUUCUAUUUUUUGAUGCUUUUAUAG